RNAcentral lists this unclassified non-coding RNA (116 nucleotides) under uncultured Coniochaetales. RNAcentral's name for it is "sequence contains ITS1". Lineage: Eukaryota; Fungi; Ascomycota; Sordariomycetes; Coniochaetales. The record is from RNAcentral.
CAGAAUUUCCCCUCCGGGGGCUUUUCUCAACCCAUGUUUACCCCCUUGUGUUUUGGCAGCUUCGGCUGCCAACAUAACUCGUUAUACCUAUUGUCUGAGUAACAUUAUAAUAUUUA